UUAUCGUCAGCGACGCUGGCUUCGCGUCGGUGGGCGAUGUCCCGCGCGGGUCCUCGCGGCUCGCGCGCGGGCACGCUACCGUGCGUCGACGUCCGGCGCUCGUCGUCGUGCACUUCUCCCCAAGUAAAACGUCNNNNCSCGCUGGGUGUCGGUCUACGGCCCGGGUGCGGUGUCUGUCGCGUCGCGCGGUAAAACGGCACGCGACAAACCCCCGGUCGCCCGGCCGGCUGCUCGGCGGUACGCGCAAGGUAUCAGNCCGCACACGUGCCGCGUGCGCGCUCUCUCUCGCCCCUCUCGGGGGGUGUGCGGAGUGUGUCGCGCGCGCGCGCGGGGAUGCGUCGAGGCCGUCGCAAGCGCGCGCCACGGUACAUGGAGGUUACGGACCUAGCGCCGUCCCCGGUCCUGGCCCGCUGUUGGUUAAUAAAGUACGGAUUCACCUUCGACAGGCCUGCUAACGUCUCGCGCGCGCGUGUGUCC
This 477-nucleotide ribosomal RNA is filed under the name Brachymyrmex depilis. Its description in RNAcentral is "partial large subunit ribosomal RNA". The record is from RNAcentral. Lineage: Eukaryota; Metazoa; Arthropoda; Insecta; Hymenoptera; Formicidae.